Molecule: ribosomal RNA, 404 nt
Filed under: uncultured bacterium
Lineage: Bacteria
Description: bacterial SSU rRNA
Rfam family: Bacterial small subunit ribosomal RNA
Source: RNAcentral
GUGGGGAAUAUUGCGCAAUGGGGGAAACCCUGACGCAGCAACGCCGCGUGAAGGAUGAAGGUUUUCGGAUCGUAAACUUCUUUGAUGAGGGACGAAGAAUGACGGUACCUCAAAAACAAGCCACGGCUAACUACGUGCCAGCAGCCGCGGUAAUACGUAGGUGGCGAGCGUUGUCCGGAAUUACUGGGUGUAAAGGGCGUGUAGGCGGGGAUACAAGUCAGAUGUGAAAUACCGUGGCUUAACCACGGGGCUGCAUCUGAAACUGUAUUUCUUGAGUGUCGGAGAGGAAAGUGGAAUUCCCAGUGUAGCGGUGAAAUGCGUAGAUAUUGGGAGGAACACCAGUGGCGAAGGCGACUUUCUGGACGAUAACUGACGCUGAGGCGCGAAAGCGUGGGGAGCAAACA